UACGUAGGGGGCAAGCGUUGUCCGGAGUUACUGGGCGUAAAGCGCACGCAGGCGGUCUGCUAAGUUUGAAGUGACAGUUGGUGGCUCAACUACCAAAGUGCUUUGAAAACUGACAGACUUGAGGACUUCAGAGGGACACGGAAUUCCGGGUGGAGUGGUGAAAUGCGUAGAUAUUCGGAAGAACACCAGUGGCGAAGGCGACUGACUGGACAAGUAUUGACGCUGAGGUGCGAAAGCGUGGGGAGCAAACAGG
This 253-nucleotide ribosomal RNA is filed under the name uncultured bacterium. RNAcentral describes it as "partial 16S ribosomal RNA". It matches the Rfam family "Bacterial small subunit ribosomal RNA", at positions 524 to 776 of the family's 1533-position model. The record is from RNAcentral.